This 3254-nucleotide long non-coding RNA is filed under the name Mus musculus (house mouse). RNAcentral's name for it is "predicted gene, 47230". The record is from RNAcentral. Lineage: Eukaryota; Metazoa; Chordata; Mammalia; Rodentia; Muridae.
AGUUCAACGGGAGUUGAGAGUGAUGUGUUGAUGUCAGCAAUGAAGCAGCUGUGACUUGCAGCUCUCUGAUCCAGGCAGGCUCUCAAAAGUGGAAGUAAAAGCCCAACAAGAAGGAAGAAUGAAUUCUCCAUGUUGACAAACAUCUGCUCCCAGAAAUAAAAAUAUCCUUUAUUCAGAGAGACUUCUUCUUCUUCCUCUUCCUCUUCCUCUUCUCCUUCUCCUCCUUCCCCUCCUCCUCCUCCUCUUCUUUCUUCUUCUUCUUCUUCUUCUUCUUCUUCUUCUUCUUCUUCUUCUUCUUCUUCUUCUUCUUCCCCCUUCCCCCUUCCCUUUCUCCUCCCUUCCCCUCCCCCUCCCCCCUCCUCCUCCCUCUCAUCCUCCUCCUCCUUCUUCUCCCUUUUUUCUUUUCCCUUGAGACAUGGAUUCUCUGUGUAGUCCCAGUUGUACUCACUACGUAGACCAGGUUGGCCUCAAGCUUACAGAGUUCUGGCUGCCUCCACCUCUCAGGUACUGGGAUUAAAGGGGAACUCCACCAUGUCUGGCUCAGAAAUAGUUCUCAACCUCUUCAGGGAAUGUAAAAGCAUUGCAGGGGCUGGGGAAAUGAUAAUGAACGUAGUAAAAAACAAAAUGCCUUUCAGACAUCUAAAAAUAGCUUAGACAAGAUCCAACACUCCACCCAAGGCUGCACCCGAUAACCAGAACCCAGGGAUAUCCUUCACCCAAGAUAACCAGACACAGUCCUGGAACCCGUGACACCCAUUCAACAGUAUAUAAGCAGAGAUCGAGAGCAAUAUUCUGCUCUACACAUCUAGAGAGACGCCACCUUGAUCUACCCUGUGGCUACAGAAUCUCAAACAGGGUCCUGACCCUCAAAUCAAAGACUUAGAGACUUUAGACUUCUGUUAAAGACUGGACCUGACCUUCAGCUAAGAUAACUCGUACCGGUGAGUAGCCUUGGGGAGAUAGGCUUCAAACCAUUAGUUAGGAGUUCAGAGUGUGAACCCUCAGCAUAAUAAAAUAUAACUUUUGUUAUACUAACUACACGCACCUACCUUCAUGCUCACUAUAGUGGUUGAAGGCACACACUGCUCUUCCAGGGGACCCAGAUUUAGUUCCCAGCACCCAUAUGCGGGUGGCGAUUCCCAACUGUCUGUAAUUCAGGUCCAUGAGGAGCUGAUACCGCCCAGCAUACACACAUGCACAUGAUUAAAGAUAACAACAAAUCUUCUAAAAAUAGGUGUACCAAUCAUGAGAGAUGAUGGCUCUGGUUAGGGCACUUGUUGCUCUUACAAAGGACCCAGGUUUGGUUCCCAGCACCUACAUGUGGUUCACAACCAUUCAUAACUCCAGUUCCAGGGAAUUUGACACUCUUUCUAGCUUCUGCAGGCACCAGACACACACGUGGUGAACCUCUGUAUAUAUAGGCAAAUACUCAUUUACACAAAAUAAAAUAAAUCUAAGAUUGCAGAGGAAAAUAUCUAAAUCACUAAAUACAAAUGCUUUACACUUAUUCGUUGUGUGUGUGCGUGCACCCACGCUCUGAUACCAAGGCUUGCACAUGGAGGUCAAAGACAACGUGCAGAACUCAUUUCUCUCCUUCCACCAUGUGGGUCCUGGGGAAUCAAACUCAAGUUGUCAGGUUUGGCCGAAAGUGCCAUAGUACACUGAUUCAUUUUGGUGACCCAACUGCCACCUCCAUCUCUUCUUGUUCUUUUUUUCCCCACCUUCUUCUUGAGACUGAGUCUCAUAUAGCUUAGGCUGGGCUCCAAUUUGCUUUGUAGCUGAAGAUACUGUCGUUAAUCCUUCUGCCUCUGCCACCCAAAUGCUGGGAUUAAGUAUGUGCAUAAAACCAGUGGCUUCUAUAACCAUUAACUAGGAAAGUCUACAAUCGGCUGUCUUAAGGCCCAUUAAGGGUGUUGUAAUGUGAGGAUUUGUGUUUCUCUUUAUUUCCCCCACCUGGCCUAUUUCCUGUUUCUAAGGUACUUUGGUUGUCAUAGAAACAGAAACAAACACAACUAAUUUCCUCUAAUUGAGCUGCAGGAUCCCACCCCCAGCUUUGCCCACAGGCACAGCUGUGUGACCCUUUACAGCUCUUCCAUGCUCUUCUCCCUGACUCUGUCUGCUCAUCGCCCACUCCUGGGCCGGCUGCACCUUUGAAAGUGUGGAUAGCUGUGUGAUUACUUGCCUCCAGCUCCACACUGAGUGUGCAAAGCAAACUCUCGCAGCAGAGACUAGUGCUUCCAAAAGCCCAAGUUAGUUUAUGGGCUCAUGUUGAUUGAUCGGUGACAUUAGGGUUACUUAAGGGUUUCCAGGGAUUUUAUGUUUUCCUUAUUAGAUUGCUGUGUAAAAGUAAUUUUUGUCCCUUGGUAUCUAAGUAGCAUAGGGCAUGUAAAUGUACCAAGAGGGCUACUCAUUGGAUUCUGCUAUCAUGAAGCUCAGUGAAGGAAAUAGAUUACUGAAGAGCAACUGAAAGCUGGAAAGUUCGCGUGUGAACAAUCUUCUGUCUUUCCUUCACUCUCUCCUUCCCUCCUAACUUUCUAACUUGGGGAAGGAUUUCAUCUUACACCAUAAUGGGGCUGGGGCGUAGAUGUGACUCUAGACCGGUGGUUCUCAACCUUCCUAAUACUGAGACCCUUUUAUAUGCAGUUCCUCAUGUUGUAGCCACCCUCACCUAUGACAUUAUUUUUGUUGUGCCUUCAUAACUGUAAUUUUGUAAUUACAGUUUUAUGUAACUGUAAUUGUGUUACCCUUCUGAAUCAUAAUGUAAAUAUCUGAUAUGCAGGAUAUCUGAUACGUGGCCCCUGUGGAAGGGUCACGACCCACGGGUUGAGAACCGCUGCUCUCAACAGAAUCCCUGGAAUCCACUGAAGCAACAGGUGUCUCUAUUGACAGUUGCUGAUGGGGAAAGUGUGACGUGUUGCUGGGAUAGUCGCUGUCAACAGGAAAGCCAGGCACCUGCUGGUCAGUCAUGCUGCGGUUCUUCCAACACACACCCUACUAAAGAGGAAAUCGCAAAGGAGAACCGAAGAGAUGAUUGACUUUACGGCGAGGGGCGUGGUUACAUCUUACACGAGCCACGAGCAGUGUGAGUAUAUUUUUAGGUCAAGCGAGCUUAACACGAAAAUACCAGCAAUGGCUGCCAUGGUGGCACACACCUUUGAUCCCAGCACUCAAGAAGCAGAGGCAGGCAGGUCUCUGGGAGUUCAAGGCCAGUCAUAGUGAGUUCCAGCCAGCCAGGACUACAUGAAGUCCCUGUC